CUCCUGGAAACGGGUGGUAAUGCCGGAUGUUCCACAUUAGCGCAUGCGAGUGUGGGAAAGGCUUUUUGCGGCAUGGGAUGGGGUCGCGUCCUAUCAGCUUGUUGGUGGGGUAACGGCCUACCAAGGCGUUGACGGGUAGCCGGCCUGAGAGGGCGACCGGCCACAUUGGGACUGAGAUACGGCCCAGACUCCUACGGGAGGCAGCAGUGGGGAAUAUUGCACAAUGGGCGCAAGCCUGAUGCAGCGACGCCGCGUGCGGGAUGGAGGCCUUCGGGUUGUAAACCGCUUUUGUUCAAGGGCAAGGCACGGUUUCGGCCGUGUUGAGUGGAUUGUUCGAAUAAGCACCGGCUAACUACGUGCCAGCAGCCGCGGUAAUACGUAGGGUGCAAGCGUUAUCCGGAUUUAUUGGGCGUAAAGGGCUCGUAGGCGGUUCGUCGCGUCCGGUGUGAAAGUCCAUCGCUUAACGGUGGAUCCGCGCCGGGUACGGGCGGGCUUGAGUGCGGUAGGGGAGACUGGAAUUCCCGGUGUAACGGUGGAAUGUGUAGAUAUCGGGAAGAACACC
Molecule: ribosomal RNA, 562 nt
Filed under: uncultured Bifidobacterium sp.
Lineage: Bacteria; Bacillati; Actinomycetota; Actinomycetes; Bifidobacteriales; Bifidobacteriaceae
Description: bacterial SSU rRNA
Rfam family: Bacterial small subunit ribosomal RNA
Source: RNAcentral